Sceloporus undulatus (fence lizard) is the source of this 967-nucleotide long non-coding RNA. RefSeq lists it as uncharacterized. The record is from RefSeq and is a predicted model, not a curated record. NCBI's taxonomy places the organism in Eukaryota, Metazoa, Chordata, Lepidosauria, Squamata, Phrynosomatidae. The transcript is spliced from 3 exons.
CUUCCGGGCCACCGAGGGGAGGGACGGGGGAAGGACCAAAGGAAGGCGCCCGGGAGAGCCAGCCUCCAAGGGGCAGAGGGCCGGGAAGCCAGCAGGAGGAAGGAGGAGGACAGAUACAUCUGGACGAUCCCAAAAUCCCUUGUGAACAUUGAAAUGGCACCUACAUAUCCUUUCACCUCUAGCUUCUGGAAUAUUGCUGAGAAGCUUUAAAAAGGGAUUUUGGCAAGUCCUUUUUAAAAAAUGAUUUGGGAAGGACCUGUCAAGAUGUGAUAAAAUCAACGCAUUUUCAAUUCUGAUGUAAGAUCUGAAAAACUUGUUUCAAAGAUCCAUGAUGUCAAACAUUCCACAGUGUAUCACCAUUUUCCAUGAUGUACAUGGAAAGUUUGUAUACCAGAAAGAAGGGCUUAUCUAACAUUUUUCUUGGUGUCCUAACUUCCUAUGUGGAGUUCCCCCUGGCCAAAUUGCAGAUGCCAGAACCUGCACUCUGAAAUCAAACAAUCUGGGGAGGACAACUUGCCCAUCAGAUCUUUCUGAAAAGAUAGUUUGACUUAAGGAUAAGAAUGGAAAAGCUGAUGUCACUUCUUGGAAAUAACCUGUCAGUUGGAUUUUAGCGUCUUCAUUUCCUGGUCUAGUUCAUUGUCAUACUCUUUUAAACUUAAGGCACUGAUAUUAUUCAUUUCCUAUUGUUUUCUGGAGUUUAGGAGAAGUAACUCUACAUGAUGAUGACAACAUUUAUCUGACAACAAAUAAUUGAAACAGCUCUGCCUGUCUGGCUACUUUCGUCUCCACCUCAUGGCCCAUCUCCUAACCAUGUUUAUUCAGAAUUUUUCCACCAGUUACAGUAGGAUUUACUUUCAAGAAUAGCAAUUAAAAGUGUACUGUGCUGUGGCAUACAAAAUUUGGGCUUUUCUGCAUUGAUGAAAACAAACCAAGUAACUGGCCCAUUUGACUACAAAUACUAAGUAUG